RNAcentral lists this ribosomal RNA (253 nucleotides) under uncultured bacterium. RNAcentral's name for it is "partial 16S ribosomal RNA". It matches the Rfam family "Bacterial small subunit ribosomal RNA", at positions 524 to 776 of the family's 1533-position model. The record is from RNAcentral.
UACGUAGGGGGCUAGCGUUGUCCGGAAUCAUUGGGCGUAAAGAGCGUGUAGGCGGUCCGGUAAGUCCGUUGUGAAAGUCAGGGGCUCAACCCUUGAAUGCCGGCGGAUACUGUCGGGCUAGAGUCCGGAAGAGGCAAGUGGAAUUCCCGGUGUAGCGGUGAAAUGCGCAGAUAUCGGGAGGAACACCUAUGGCGAAGGCAGCUUGCUGGGACGGUACUGACGCUGAGGCGCGAAAGCGUGGGGAGCAAACAGG